GAGUGGCGGACGGGUGAGUAAUGCGUAGGAAUCUGUCUUUGAGUGGGGGACAACCCAGGGAAACUUGGGCUAAUACCGCAUAAGCCCUGAGGGGGAAAGCGGGGGAUCUUCGGACCUCGCGCUGGAAGAGGAGCCUACGUCUGAUUAGCUAGUUGGUAGGGUAAAGGCCUACCAAGGCGACGAUCGGUAGCUGGUCUGAGAGGACGACCAGCACACUGGGACUGAGACACGGCCCAGACUCCUACGGGAGGCAGCAGUGGGGAAUUUUUCGCAAUGGGGGCAACCCUGACGAAGCAAUGCCGCGUGAAUGAAGAAGGCCUUCGGGUUGUAAAGUUCUUUCGUGGAGGACGAAAAGGUGGGUGCUAAUAUCGCCUGCUGUUGACGUGAAUCCAAGAAGAAGCACCGGCUAACUCCGUGCCAGCCGCCGCGGUAAUACAAGGGC
RNAcentral lists this ribosomal RNA (442 nucleotides) under uncultured Acidithiobacillus sp. Its description in RNAcentral is "bacterial SSU rRNA". It matches the Rfam family "Bacterial small subunit ribosomal RNA", at positions 93 to 533 of the family's 1533-position model. Lineage: Bacteria; Pseudomonadati; Pseudomonadota; Acidithiobacillia; Acidithiobacillales; Acidithiobacillaceae. The record is from RNAcentral.